RNAcentral lists this ribosomal RNA (480 nucleotides) under uncultured bacterium. RNAcentral's name for it is "partial 16S ribosomal RNA". It matches the Rfam family "Bacterial small subunit ribosomal RNA", at positions 29 to 507 of the family's 1533-position model. The record is from RNAcentral.
AUGAACGCUGGCGGCGUGCUUCACACAUGCACGUCGAACGAAGCAUUUAAGACAGAUUACUUCGGUUUGAAGUCUUUUAUGACUGAGUGGCGGACGGGUGAGUAACGCGUGGGUAACCUGCCUCAUACAGGGGGAUAGCAGCUGGAAACGGCUGGUAAUACCGCAUAAGCGCACAGUACCACAUGGUACAGUGUGAAAAACUCCGGUGGUAUGAGAUGGACCCGCGUCUGAUUAGCUUGUUGGCGGGGUAACGGCCCACCAAGGCGACGAUCAGUAGCCGACCUGAGAGGGUGACCGGCCACAUUGGGACUGAGACACGGCCCAGACUCCUACGGGAGGCAGCAGUGGGGAAUAUUGCACAAUGGAGGAAACUCUGAUGCAGCGACGCCGCGUGAGUGAAGAAGUAGUUCGCUAUGUAAAGCUCUAUCAGCAGGGAAGAUAGUGACGGUACCUGACUAAGAAGCUCCGGCUAAAUACGUG